This 492-nucleotide ribosomal RNA is filed under the name uncultured bacterium. RNAcentral's name for it is "partial 16S ribosomal RNA". It matches the Rfam family "Bacterial small subunit ribosomal RNA", at positions 29 to 507 of the family's 1533-position model. The record is from RNAcentral.
AGUGAACGCUGGCGGUAGGCCUAACACAUGCAAGUCGAACGGCAGCACAGUAAGAGCUUGCUCUUACGGGUGGCGAGUGGCGGACGGGUGAGGAAUACAUCGGAAUCUACUUUUUCGUGGGGGAUAACGUAGGGAAACUUACGCUAAUACCGCAUACGACCUACGGGUUAAAGCAGGGGAUCUUCGGACCUUUCGCGAUUGAAUGAGCCGAUGUCGGAUUAGCUAGUUGGCGGGGUAAAGGCCCACCAAGGCGACGAUCCGUAGCUGGUCUGAGAGGAUGAUCAGCCACACUGGAACUGAGACACGGUCCAGACUCCUACGGGAGGCAGCAGUGGGGAAUAUUGGACAAUGGGCGCAAGCCUGAUCCAGCCAUACCGCGUGGGUGAAGAAGGCCUUCGGGUUGUAAAGCCCUUUUGUUGGGAAAGAAAAGCAGCAGGUGAAUACCCCGCUGUUCUGACGGUACCCAAAGAAUAAGCACCGGCUAACUUCGUG